AAUGGGGGCAACCCUGAUCCAGCCAUUCCGCGUGAGUGAAGAAGGCCUUCGGGUUGUAAAGCUCUUUUGUCCGGAGCGAAACGGGUGCGGUGAAUAUCCGCGCUCACUGACGGUACCGGAAGAAUAAGCACCGGCUAACUACGUGCCAGCAGCCGCGGUAAUACGUAGGGUGCGAGCGUUAAUCGGAAUUACUGGGCGUAAAGCGUGCGCAGGCGGAUGCCUAAGCCAGACGUGAAAUCCCCGGGCUUAACCUGGGAAUGGCGUUUGGGACUGGGCGUCUAGAGUGCGGCAGAGGGGACUGGAAUUCCUGGUGUAGCAGUGAAAUGCGUAGAUAUCAGGAGGAACACCGAUGGCGAAGGCAGGUCUCUGGGCUGACACUGACGCUCAUGCACGAAAGCGUGGGGAGCAAA
This 410-nucleotide ribosomal RNA is filed under the name uncultured bacterium. RNAcentral's name for it is "bacterial SSU rRNA". It matches the Rfam family "Bacterial small subunit ribosomal RNA", at positions 370 to 772 of the family's 1533-position model. The record is from RNAcentral.